RNAcentral lists this ribosomal RNA (468 nucleotides) under uncultured bacterium. Its description in RNAcentral is "partial 16S ribosomal RNA". It matches the Rfam family "Bacterial small subunit ribosomal RNA", at positions 28 to 507 of the family's 1533-position model. The record is from RNAcentral.
GACGAACGCUGGCGGCGUGCUUAACACAUGCAAGUCGAACGGAAAGGCCCUGCUUUUGUGGGGUGCUCGAGUGGCGAACGGGUGAGUAACACGUGAGUAACCUGCCCUUGACUUUGGGAUAACUUCAGGAAACUGGGGCUAAUACCCGGUAUGAGCUCCUGCUGCAUGGUGUGGGUUGGAAAGUUUCGGCGGUUGGGGAUGGUCUCGCGGGUUAUCAGCUUGUUGGUGGGGUAGGGGCUUACCAAGGCUUUGACGGGUAGGCGGCCUGAGAGGGGUAACGGCGACAAUGGGACUGAGGUACGGCGCAGUCGGGAACGGGAGGCAGCGGUGGGGAAUAUGACAGAGUGGGCGGACGCGUGAUGCAGCAACGCCGCGUGCGGGAUGACGGCUUUCGGGUUGUAAACCGCUUUCGCCUGUGACGAAGCGUGAGUGACGGUAAUGGGUCAAGAAGCCCCGGCUAACUACGUG